GGACCCCUAGGGACCCCCAUGGAUACUAGUAGGCUGGUAAAUGAGAAAAGAAUAUGUUGUAUAAUGAUUGAAUUACAAAAGGCGUGAUAAGUGCUAUGUUUUACAGCUUAUAUUAUUCCAUGAUUGUGAUAAUGUUAUUAUUUUUCUUAUAUUGUUUUCAUAAAUUCCACCGAGGUAAGUGGAUGGUAAAGGUUUUAUCAUAAAUAAAAGGAUUUGUUGUAAAAUAUGCUGCAUUGGUCUUUUUGUGUUUUUCUACCCACCUUUACCUCCGUGACGGUGAGAUAUCGUGAUGUUCUUACUGGGCUAGUGUAGCUCACUC
Molecule: long non-coding RNA, 319 nt
Filed under: Carica papaya (papaya)
Lineage: Eukaryota; Viridiplantae; Streptophyta; Magnoliopsida; Brassicales; Caricaceae
Description: long non-coding RNA (CPAP_LNC003270)
Source: RNAcentral